Long non-coding RNA from Lingula anatina, 291 nucleotides. The record is from RefSeq and is a predicted model, not a curated record. Lineage: Eukaryota; Metazoa; Brachiopoda; Lingulata; Lingulida; Lingulidae.
CAUCAUCUGCUUUGGGUGGAAAAAGACCCUGCUCAGCUUCUGGUGCAAGGGAGAAAACCUCAGCAAGUUUAGCUAAUGGAUUGGGCAGCAGUGGAAGCAGUUUGUCUGGAGGGGCCAAGAAGAAACAUGCAAGAGGUAGCAGCUUUAAUGCACCUUUAAGUCAAAGAAGUGAUGAUAAGUCUAGUACAGAAAAAACACCGAGGAAGCUAAAGCCUAGACUUUCAUCAGGAGAUGAGUUCUUAGCUCUCUUUGAGAAUACCCAACCCAAGAUAAAACAGGCCAGCAGCAAGG